UACGUAGGGUGCGAGCGUUGUCCGGAAUUAUUGGGCGUAAAGGGCUCGUAGGCGGUCUGUUGCGUCGGGAGUGAAAACUCAGGGCUUAACCCUGAGCCUGCUUCCGAUACGGGCAGACUAGAGGUAUGCAGGGGAGAACGGAAUUCCUGGUGUAGCGGUGAAAUGCGCAGAUAUCAGGAGGAACACCGGUGGCGAAGGCGGGUCUCUGGGCCGAUACUGACGCUGAGGUGCGAAAGCGUGGGGAGCAAACAGG
RNAcentral lists this ribosomal RNA (253 nucleotides) under uncultured bacterium. RNAcentral describes it as "partial 16S ribosomal RNA". It matches the Rfam family "Bacterial small subunit ribosomal RNA", at positions 524 to 776 of the family's 1533-position model. The record is from RNAcentral.